This 256-nucleotide ribosomal RNA is filed under the name uncultured bacterium. RNAcentral describes it as "partial 16S ribosomal RNA". It matches the Rfam family "Bacterial small subunit ribosomal RNA", at positions 524 to 778 of the family's 1533-position model. The record is from RNAcentral.
UACGUAGGGUGCAAGCGUUAAUCGGAAUUACUGGGCGUAAAGCGUGCGCAGGCGGUUUUGUAAGUCUGUCGUGAAAUCCCCGGGCUCAACCUGGGAAUUGCGAUGGAGACUGCAAGGCUAGAAUCUGGCAGAGGGGGGUAGAAUUCCACGUGUGAGCAGUGAAAUGCGUAGAGAUGUGGAGGAACACCGAUGGCGAAGGCAGCCCCCUGGGUCAAGAUUGACGCUCAUGCACGAAAGCGUGGGGAGCAAACAGGAU